This 481-nucleotide ribosomal RNA is filed under the name uncultured bacterium. Its description in RNAcentral is "partial 16S ribosomal RNA". It matches the Rfam family "Bacterial small subunit ribosomal RNA", at positions 28 to 507 of the family's 1533-position model. The record is from RNAcentral.
GAUGAACGCUGGCGGCGUGCUUAACACAUGCAAGUCGAACGAAGCAUUUGCGACAGAUUUUUUCGGAAUGAAGUUGCUUAUGACCGAGUGGCGGACGGGUGAGUAACGCGUGGGUAACCUGCCUUGUACUGGGGGAUAGCAGCUGGAAACGGCUGGUAAUACCGCAUAAGCGCACAAUGUUGCAUGACAUGGUGUGAAAAACUCCGGUGGUAUAAGAUGGACCCGCGUCUGAUUAGCUAGUUGGUGAGAUAACAGCCCACCAAGGCGACGAUCAGUAGCCGACCGGAGAGGGUGACCGGCCACAUUGGGACUGAGACACGGCCCAGACUCCUACGGGAGGCAGCAGUGGGGAAUAUUGCACAAUGGAGGAAACUCUGAUGCAGCGACGCCGCGUGAGUGAAGAAGUAAUUCGUUAUGUAAAGCUCUAUCAGCAGGGAAGAUAGUGACGGUACCUGACGAAGAAGCUCCGGCUAAAUACGUG